AGUCUGAUGGAGCAACGCCGCGUGAGUGAAGAAGGCUUUCGGGUCGUAAAACUCUGUUGUUGGAGAAGAAUGGUCGGCAGAGUAACUGUUGUCGGCGUGACGGUAUCCAACCAGAAAGCCACGGCUAACUACGUGCCAGCAGCCGCGGUAAUACGUAGGUGGCAAGCGUUAUCCGGAUUUAUUGGGCGUAAAGCGAGCGCAGGCGGUUUUUUAAGUCUGAUGUGAAAGCCCUCGGCUUAACCGAGGAAGUGCAUCGGAAACUGGGAAACUUGAGUGCAGAAGAGGACAGUGGAACUCCAUGUGUAGCGGUGAAAUGCGUAGAUAUAUGGAAGAACACCAGUGGCGAAGGCGGCUGUCUGGUCUGUAACUGACGCUGAGGCUCGAAAGCAUGGGUAGCGAACAGGAUUAGAUACCCUGGUAGUCCAUGCCGUAAACGAUGAAUGCUAGGUGUUGGAGGGUUUCCGCCCUUCAGUGCCGCAGCUAACGCAUUAAGCAUUCCGCCUGGGGAGUACGACCGCAAGGUUGAAACUCAAAGGAAUUGACGGGGGCCCGCACAAGCGGUGGAGCAUGUGGUUUAAUUCGAAGCAACGCGAAGAACCUUACCAGGUCUUGA
This 613-nucleotide ribosomal RNA is filed under the name Lacticaseibacillus rhamnosus. Its description in RNAcentral is "bacterial SSU rRNA". It matches the Rfam family "Bacterial small subunit ribosomal RNA", at positions 380 to 984 of the family's 1533-position model. Lineage: Bacteria; Bacillati; Bacillota; Bacilli; Lactobacillales; Lactobacillaceae. The record is from RNAcentral.